This 301-nucleotide ribosomal RNA is filed under the name uncultured bacterium. RNAcentral describes it as "partial 16S ribosomal RNA". It matches the Rfam family "Bacterial small subunit ribosomal RNA", at positions 509 to 807 of the family's 1533-position model. The record is from RNAcentral.
CAGUCGCCGCGGGAAUACAGAGGGUGCGAGCGUUAAUCGGAUUUACUGGGCGUAAAGCGUGCGUAGGCGGCUUCUUAAGUCGGAUGUGAAAUCCCUGAGCUUAACUUAGGAAUUGCAUUCGAUACUGGGAAGCUAGAGUAUGGGAGAGGAUGGUAGAAUUCCAGGUGUAGCGGUGAAAUGCGUAGAGAUCUGGAGGAAUACCGAUGGCGAAGGCAGCCAUCUGGCCUUAUACUGACGCUGAGGUACGAAAGCAUGGGGAGCAAACAGGAUUAGAUACCCGUGUAGUCCCUGUCUCUUAUAC